This 75-nucleotide transfer RNA is filed under the name Candidatus Taylorbacteria bacterium CG10_big_fil_rev_8_21_14_0_10_41_48. RNAcentral describes it as "tRNA-Cys". It matches the Rfam family "tRNA". From Rfam's summary of the family: Transfer RNA (tRNA) molecules are approximately 80 nucleotides in length. Their secondary structure includes four short double-helical elements and three loops (D, anti-codon, and T loops). Further hydrogen bonds mediate the characteristic L-shaped molecular structure. tRNAs have two regions of fundamental functional importance: the anti-codon, which is responsible for specific mRNA codon recognition, and the 3' end, to which the tRNAs corresponding amino acid is attached (by aminoacyl-tRNA synthetases). tRNAs cope with the degeneracy of the genetic code in two manners: having more than one tRNA (with a specific anti-codon) for a particular amino acid; and 'wobble' base-pairing, i.e. permitting non-standard base-pairing at the 3rd anti-codon position. Lineage: Bacteria; Candidatus Tayloriibacteriota. The record is from RNAcentral.
GGCCACGUAGAAAAGUGGUAAUUCGUUCCUCUGCAAAAGGAAUAUGCGGGAGUUCGAUUCUCCCCGUGGCCUCAA